GAAAAAAAUAUCAAAACAGCCGUACUUUGAAGCAGAAAUUCAACAAAAACAAAGUUCGGAAACUUAAUGUCUUCAAAACAGAACUCCAUGCUCAGUUCGAGGCAGUAAACAAUGAUAGAAGUCCAGUACACCUACAUGAUAUCCAUCUACAACCAUCACAUCUCAGUGAAGGGGUACAUGACAUCCUAUAUACUCGCUGUUUAAGUCAGCUUGACUACACCUACAAUCCAAAUAUUUCCUCAAAAGAAAAAGACCUUCCCAUCUCAGAAAUAAUCAAAAUUAACACUUCAUACUAUAGAAUGAAUGUCAAGGCAAAGAGAAUGCAACAGAAGAGUCAAAGACCACAACUUUGUUCAAGAUGGAACCUUUC
Onychostoma macrolepis is the source of this 370-nucleotide long non-coding RNA. RefSeq lists it as uncharacterized. The transcript is spliced from 3 exons. Lineage: Eukaryota; Metazoa; Chordata; Actinopteri; Cypriniformes; Cyprinidae. The record is from RefSeq and is a predicted model, not a curated record.